ACCCGGUUCUUCUAGAUCGGAUGGGGGGAGAGGCCCUUGCAACGACCUUUAUGUGCCCCCAUAGCCCUAUUGGGAACAGAAGGAGAACCUCAUCCUAACCUGAGCUGAGAUCGACUACGUUAAGGAUAGAAGGAGGACCUCAUCCUGACGAUGACAAAAAUUUGGUCACCCAACAUGAUCGGAUAAAGGGAAAAGUCCCCUCAAUGGCACCUCCACACCUCUGCGCGACCCCGCGAAAAGCAAGGGGAGGACCCUCGCUCAGAAAAGAGAAGGAAAAUUAAAAAGGAAAAGCGACGAACUACAUCGGCAACAGAUGAAAAACAAACUACACCAAAAACAUAGGG
RNAcentral lists this long non-coding RNA (344 nucleotides) under Elaeis guineensis (African oil palm). RNAcentral describes it as "long non-coding RNA (EGUI_LNC082560)". The record is from RNAcentral. Lineage: Eukaryota; Viridiplantae; Streptophyta; Magnoliopsida; Arecales; Arecaceae.